RNAcentral lists this ribosomal RNA (1348 nucleotides) under uncultured bacterium. RNAcentral's name for it is "bacterial SSU rRNA". It matches the Rfam family "Bacterial small subunit ribosomal RNA", at positions 28 to 1381 of the family's 1533-position model. The record is from RNAcentral.
GACGAACGCUGGCGGCGUGGAUUAGGCAUGCAAGUUGAGCGACAGACAAGGGCUUGCCUUUGUUAUGGAGCAGCGAACGGGUGAGUAACACGUGAACGACCUGUCCUCACGUUCCGAAUAAUUGGGAGAAAUCCCUUGUAAUGCGGGCGAGGAACUUUUGGAGGCAUCUUCAGAAGCGGGAACGCGCAAGCGGCGCGAGGAGGGGUUCGCGGCCUAUCAGUUUGUUGGUGGGGUAACGGCCUACCAAGACGACGACGGGUAGCUGGUCUGAGAGGAUGGUCAGCCACAUUGGAACUGAGAUACUGUCCAGACUCCUACGGGAGGCUGCAGUCGAGAAUCUUGGGCAAUGCACGAAAGUGUGACCCAGCGACGCCGCGUGAAGGAUGAAGGCCCUCUGGGUCGUAAACUUCUUUUAUGGGGAAAGAAAAGCUCGCAAGAGCCUUGACGGUACCCCAUGAAUAAGCCACGGCUAACUACGUGCCAGCAGCCGCGGUAAUACGUAGGUGGCAAGCGUUGUCCGGAUUUACUGGGCGUAAAGCGAACGCAGGCGGAUACUUAAGUAGAGAGUGAAAGGCGGGAGCUCAACUCCUGGACUGCUCCCUAUACUGGGUGUCUUGAGUGGCGGAGAGGAAGAUGGAACAAAUCGUGUAGCGGUGAAAUGCGUAGAUAUGAUUUGGAACACCAAUGGCGAAAGCAAUCUUCUGGACGCAAACUGACGCUGAGGUUCGAAAGCCAUGGUAGCGAACAGGAUUAGAUACCCUGGUAGUCAUGGCCAUAAACGAUGUUCACUAGGUGUCGGGGCUUCGCCUCGGUGCCGCAGCUAACGCAUUAAGUGAACCGCCUGGGAACUACGGCCGCAAGGUUGAAACUCAAAGGAAUUGGCGGGGGCCCGCACAAGCGGUGGAGCAUAUGGCUUAAUUCGAUGCAACGCGAAGAACCUUACCAAGGUUUGACAUGGAUCUGCAAGCGUUAGAAAUAUCGUCGCCUUCGAGGGUGAUCCACAGGUGGUGCAUGGCUGUCGUCAGCUCGUGUUGUGAAAUGUUGGGUUAAGUCCCGCAACGAGCGCAACCCUCAUGUUCUGUUGCCAGCGGGUAAUGCCGGGAACUCGGAACAAACUGCCUCUGUAAAGAGGAGGAAGGUGGGGAUGACGUCAAGUCAUCAUGCCCCUUACAUCUUGGGCUGCACAUAUGCUACAAUGGCCGGUACAAAGAGUCGCUAACCCGCGAGGGUGUGCUAAUCUCAAAAAGCCGGUCUCAGUUCGGAUUGGAGUCUGCAACUCGACUCCAUGAAGUUGGAAUCGCUAGUAACCGCAGGUCAGCAAUACUGCGGUGAAUACGUUCCCGGGCCU